This 252-nucleotide ribosomal RNA is filed under the name uncultured bacterium. RNAcentral's name for it is "partial 16S ribosomal RNA". It matches the Rfam family "Bacterial small subunit ribosomal RNA", at positions 524 to 776 of the family's 1533-position model. The record is from RNAcentral.
UACGGAGGAUGCGAGCGUUAUCCGGAUUUAUUGGGUUUAAAGGGUGCGUAGGCGGGCUUUUAAGUCAGCGGUAAAAAUUCAGGGCUCAACCCCGUCCGGCCGUUGAAACUGGGGGUCUUGAGUGGGCGAGAAGAAGGCGGAAUGCGUGGUGUAGCGGUGAAAUGCAUAGAUAUCACGCAGAACCCCGAUUGCGAAGGCAGCCUUCCGGCGCCCUACUGACGCUGAGGCACGAAAGUGCGGGGAUCGAACAGG